GACCUUAGUUGCCAGCAUUCAGUUGGGCACUCUAAGGUGACUGCCGGCUAAAAAGUCGGAGGAAGUGGGGGAUGACGUCAAAUCAUCAUGCCCCUUAUGACCUGGGCUACACACGUGCUACAAUGGGCGGUACAAAGGGUCGCGGACCCGCGAGGGGGGAGCCAAUCCCAAAAAGCCGCUCUCAGUUCGGAUUGCAGGCUGCAACUCGCCUGCAUGAAGCCGGAAUCGCUAGUAAUCGCGGAUCAGCAUGCCGCGGUGAAUACGUUCCCGGGCCUU
Molecule: ribosomal RNA, 276 nt
Filed under: uncultured Anoxybacillus sp.
Lineage: Bacteria; Bacillati; Bacillota; Bacilli; Caryophanales; Anoxybacillaceae
Description: partial 16S ribosomal RNA
Rfam family: Bacterial small subunit ribosomal RNA
Source: RNAcentral